Molecule: ribosomal RNA, 427 nt
Filed under: uncultured bacterium
Lineage: Bacteria
Description: partial 16S ribosomal RNA
Rfam family: Bacterial small subunit ribosomal RNA
Source: RNAcentral
UGGGGAAUAUUGGACAAUGGGCGAAAGCCUGAUCCAGCCAUGCCGCGUGUGUGAAGAAGGUCUUCGGAUUGUAAAGCACUUUAAGUUGGGAGGAAGGGCAUUAACCUAAUACGUUAGUGUUUUGACGUUACCGACAGAAUAAGCACCGGCUAACUCUGUGCCAGCAGCCGCGGUAAUACAGAGGGGGCAAGCGUUAAUCGGAUUUACUGGGCGUAAAGCGCGCGUAGGUGGUUUGUUAAGUUGGAUGUGAAAUCCCCGGGCUCAACCUGGGAACUGCAUUCAAAACUGACUGACUAGAGUAUGGUAGAGGGUGGUGGAAUUUCCUGUGUAGCGGUGAAAUGCGUAGAUAUAGGAAGGAACACCAGUGGCGAAGGCGACCACCUGGACUAAUACUGACACUGAGGUGCGAAAGCGUGGGGAGCAAACA